This 253-nucleotide ribosomal RNA is filed under the name uncultured bacterium. RNAcentral describes it as "partial 16S ribosomal RNA". It matches the Rfam family "Bacterial small subunit ribosomal RNA", at positions 524 to 776 of the family's 1533-position model. The record is from RNAcentral.
GACGUAGGGCGCGAGCGUUGUCCGGAUUUAUUGGGCGUAAAGAGCUCGUAGGCGGCUUGUCGCGUCGUCUGUGAAAUCCCGCCGCUCAACUGCGGGCCUGCAGGCGAUACGGGCAGGCUAGAGUUCGGUAGGGGAGACUGGAAUUCCUGGUGUAGCGGUGAAAUGCGCAGAUAUCAGGAGGAACACCGGUGGCGAAGGCGGGUCUCUGGGCCGAUACUGACGCUCAUGCACGAAAGCGUGGGGAGCAAACAGG